UACAGAGGGUGCAAGCGUUGUUCGGAAUUAUUGGGCGUAAAGCGCGUGUAGGCGGCAGCGCAAGUCGGGUGUGAAAUCCCUCGGCUCAACCGGGGAACUGCGUCCGAUACUGGCGGGCUUGAAUCCGGGAGAGGGAUGUGGAAUUCACGGUGUAGCAGUGAAAUGCGUAGAUAUCGUGAGGAAGACCGGUGGCGAAGGCGGGUCUCUGGACAGUUCCUGACGCUGAGGCACGAAGGCCAGGGGAGCAAACGGG
RNAcentral lists this ribosomal RNA (253 nucleotides) under uncultured bacterium. RNAcentral describes it as "partial 16S ribosomal RNA". It matches the Rfam family "Bacterial small subunit ribosomal RNA", at positions 524 to 776 of the family's 1533-position model. The record is from RNAcentral.